Molecule: ribosomal RNA, 373 nt
Filed under: uncultured organism
Description: partial 16S ribosomal RNA
Rfam family: Bacterial small subunit ribosomal RNA
Source: RNAcentral
GUAGGUGGCAAGCGUUGUCCGGAAUUAUUGGGCGUAAAGCGCGCGCAGGUGGGUUCUUUAAGUCUGAUGUGAAAGCCCCCGGGCUCAACCGGGGAGGGUCAUUGGAAACUGGGGAACUUGAGUGCAGGAGAGGAAAGUGGAAUUCCACGUGUAGCGGUGAAAUGCGUAGAUAUGUGGAGGAACACCAGUGGCGAAGGCGACUUUCUGGCCUGUAACUGACACUGAGGCGCGAAAGCGUGGGGAGCAAACAGGAUUAGAUACCCUGGUCGUCCACGCCGUAAACGAUGAGUGCUAAGUGUUGGGGGGUUUCCGCCCCUCAGUGCUGCAGCUAACGCAUUAAGCACUCCGCCUGGGGAGUACGGUCGCAAGACUG